Molecule: ribosomal RNA, 105 nt
Filed under: Streptomyces albogriseolus
Lineage: Bacteria; Bacillati; Actinomycetota; Actinomycetes; Kitasatosporales; Streptomycetaceae
Also listed under: 5 other names
Description: partial 23S ribosomal RNA
Rfam family: Bacterial large subunit ribosomal RNA
Source: RNAcentral
UAGAGAGGGUAAGGCUCCCAGUAGACGACUGGGUUGAUAGGCCGGAUAUGGAAGCACGGUAACGUGUGGAGUUGACCGGUACUAAUAGGCCGAGGGCUUGUCCUC